UAUCAACAUUACAGUAAUUAGACUUUUUUAAUGCCUAAAUGUUGAUAAUAUUAGUCCAAAUUAUUCUUUUAUUACCAUUACUAUAAAUAUGUAAAUAAACAUUUUGUCAUAUUUGGUAAUGUUUGCAAUACAAUUUUUUUUAUAUUUCCACCAAAAAAGCUUAACUAGCAUGUCAGUUAUAUUGCAGCACUCUAAGUUAUUGUGUGUAAUCAACAGGUUGGGACCAUGAGAUGACUGGAGCAUUGCUGCACAUUCUGUGCCUCAGUGAUGAGACAAGGGAGACAUCACAGACCUCUGCCAUUAUUCCAUGCCACGCCAUUGAGACUGAGUCUUUGUUGGAGGCGGAUAAUCUUUGCUUUAAAGCUUUUUUUGUUUUUGAUGUUCAGUACACCAAGCAGUGUCUCCCCACCUGGGAAAAGAGUCCUUUUGAGGACAACAGUGGUUUCAGGCCCACAUCGUAUGAGAGUUCAAAUUAGUUGUUUAAUGACUUUUAAUGCCUGAAUAUUUGGACAGAUUUACAUUUGUUAUAAAGUCUGUGGGGAAGGGUGAAUGUCAGAGGGUGUGUGGGUGGGGGUUGGGAUGGGUGGGUAAAGAAUGUAUUCAAUAUUGUAUACAAACAAAGUAUUAAAGAAAUGUAUUGUUUUUAAAGAAAUAAUAUGUUUUAAAUUAAAUGAGAUUGAAAUCACAUAUACAUGGCCUCUGGUUUAUUGUAUUACAGAGACAAUAAUUAUUUUACAUUUGUAAUAUAAAAUAUAUUUGUAACUAAUGUAUAAAGGCAG
This 779-nucleotide long non-coding RNA is filed under the name Carassius auratus (goldfish). Its description in RNAcentral is "lncRNA (ENSCARG00000024277.1)". Lineage: Eukaryota; Metazoa; Chordata; Actinopteri; Cypriniformes; Cyprinidae. The record is from RNAcentral.